AUGUCAUCUAAGUGCAGACUCACCACAAACCGCAAGUCAAAUAUAUGUCGCCACCUGAUCUCCCAGUCCCCGUACAUUCCCCCUUCCUUGUACACAAGCAUUCUCGACACAGCUGUCCAACCAAUUGUCGUCAUGCGCCCAGCAGGACCAAAUUCCUUCACAAGGUCAUCACCGGAUAACACUAUCAGGGAAAUUGAUAUUCCACAGCUCACUGUCAAGGACCCUGUCGAGCUUCAUGAGAGUUGGGUUGAAUUGCUCGUUGCUCCAGGUGUAGCAACAUCCGUGGAGAUACAUAUCUUUGAGUUGCAGGUUGUUGAGGAAUCCACGGAUAUACAUGUAAUAGGAGAACUAAGAAUGGCCGACCAGAACAAUGAUACAGUUCAAGAUGUACCUUGGUGA
Molecule: ribosomal RNA, 399 nt
Filed under: Triticum aestivum (bread wheat)
Lineage: Eukaryota; Viridiplantae; Streptophyta; Magnoliopsida; Poales; Poaceae
Description: partial small subunit ribosomal RNA
Source: RNAcentral